CCUGAACCGGAAGAGGAAGCAAGGAGAGCGGCGAGCGCCAGGAAUGCUGGGAGUCGUGGUUCUGGCUGCCGUUCUGAGGCGUUAUCUCACCUGGUGGUCAAAACAAACUGUGAGCAGCCCAAAUGGACUAAGACAAGACCCAAACCAAAAGGCUGUCUUGGAAACUUGCCAGCAAGCUGUUCCACACUCUCUACCUUUGGGCUCACACAGCCAUGAACCUUUUGAGUUACCAGCCUCUGUGACUGAUGAUACUGCAAAUGGAGCCUCCUGCAAAGGGAGGCAGCUUCUACUCAAGAGGCCCUACCCCUUGAGGCUUCAGAUUCAUCAUCUCCCCAACAUGACUACAGGGCCAUGUCCACCUUUCUACAUCUGGCAUAUUAUCUGAACAGAUUUAGACCCUCAGAACAUACAGAGGACAUCGUACUGAUUUAUUAUAAGAAGAGCAUCAUGCUGAUGGGACCAGGCGAACGUGAGUUGAAACCCUGAGCCUGCUUCAGCUGUGAAGUCACCUGGUC
This is a long non-coding RNA of Orcinus orca (killer whale), 515 nucleotides long. RefSeq lists it as uncharacterized. The record is from RefSeq and is a predicted model, not a curated record. The transcript is spliced from 4 exons. Lineage: Eukaryota; Metazoa; Chordata; Mammalia; Artiodactyla; Delphinidae.